UGGCUCAGUUGGUAGAGCAUGGUGUUUGCAACGCCAGGGUUGUGAGUUCGAUUCCCAU
RNAcentral lists this transfer RNA (58 nucleotides) under Salmo salar (Atlantic salmon). It matches the Rfam family "tRNA", at positions 8 to 63 of the family's 71-position model. Rfam says of the family: Transfer RNA (tRNA) molecules are approximately 80 nucleotides in length. Lineage: Eukaryota; Metazoa; Chordata; Actinopteri; Salmoniformes; Salmonidae. The record is from Rfam by way of RNAcentral. RNAcentral also lists the same sequence under 1 other name.